AAAAAUCAACCGAGAGUCCGUAAGUAGUGGCGAACGAAAGCGGGUUAGGCUAAAUUAUAAAACUGUUUAAAAGAAAAAAUUAAUCCAUAGACGGUCAGUAGUCCGGUAAAUUGAAAUUUUUAUAAUUUUUCAGUAAAAUGAAUAAUAUUGUUCAAAGAUUGUGGAACCAACCCACAAAGUCUAAAAAUUUUAGUGUUUGAUAGUGAACUAGUACUGUGAAGGAAAGGUUAAAAUAAUCUUAGGAUUUAAUAUUUUGAAAUUUAAUGUUGACAAUCUGUUGAAGCUUACCCAAAAGUAUCAGCUUACCUUUUGUAUAAUGGAUCAACAAGUUUAUUAUAGUGGCGAGCUUAAAUUUAAAAAUGUAGGCUUAAAAAAACUAAGUUUUAAAAUGCUUUUAAGUCUCUAUAAUAAAACCCGAAACUAAGUGAUCUACUUAUGAACAGGUUGAGAUUUUUAAGCGUUUAGCUAAUCAGAGGACCGAACCAGUGUAUGUGGCAAAAUACUUGGAUGAUUUGUGAGUAGAGGUGAAAGGCCAAUCAAACUUAGAGAUAGCUGGUUUUCUGCGAAAUCUAUUUUAGUAGAGCGUUUAAAAACUUUAUUUUGGGGUAGAGCUCUUGAUAAAUAAUGGGGGAGAAAUCUUUACUGAAUUUAAUAAAACUUCGAAUACAAAAUUAAAAGAAUUUAUACAGACAGACUAUAAGUGCUAAGAUUUAUAGUCAAGAAGGAAACAGCCUAGAUUAAUAGUUAAGGUCCUCAAAAGUAAUUAAGUGCAAAAGUAAUAAAGAACAAAAAACGACCGAAAAGUAGGCUUGGAAGCAGCCAUCUUUUAAAGAAAGCGUAACAGCUCAUUGGUCUGAAUUUUUUAUAACGAGAAAUGUAUAGGGACUAAAAUUACUUACCGAAACUUUAAAUUAAAAAUGUUUUUUAAUGGUAGCAGAACGUUCUGUAAAUUUAAAAAGGUUUAUAGUUAUAUAAACUGAAGAUAUCAGAAUUGAUAAUGUUGAUAUGAGUAGCUUUAAACAGUGUGAAAAACAUUGUCGUCUUAAAUCUAAGGUUUCCAAAAUAAAGUUAAUCUUUUUUGGUGUUAAUCGGUCUCUAAAAUUAUAAACGAAAGUUUAAAUUGAUGAGUUUAAAAAUUUUAGUCUUUAUUAAUUAAUAGUGACGAAAUAAAAAUAUUUUAAAAAUUUUAUGGUAAUAAUCUCUAAAAUAUAUUAUUUUCAAGAAAUAGCUGUUGAUAAAUUUAACCGUACCCUAAACCGACACAGGUAGAUAAGUUGAGUAAACUAAGACGUUUGAAAGAAUUAUAUUGAAGGAACUCGGCAAAAUGACUUUGUAACUUCGGAAUAUAAAGUAGCUAUGUGUUUGCUAGCUGUCAUAAAAACGGGGAUAGCGACUGGUUAAUAAAACCACAGGUCUCUGCAAAAUUGUAAAAGGAAGUAUAGAGACUGACGCCUGCCCAGUGCUGCAAGACUAAGUUUUUGAGGUUUAAGAGCUUUAAUUAUUAAAUCCCAGUAAACGGCGGUUGUAACUCUGACGAUCCUAAGGUAGCAAAAUUUCUUGGCAUUUAAUUGGUGUCCUGCUUGAAUGGCGUAACGACUAUCCCACUGUCUCCAAUAUAAAUUCAGUGAAAUUGAAAUUUCUGUGAAGAUGCAGAAUAUUUACCGCUAGACGAGAAGACCCUAUGCACCUUUACUAUAAUUAUACAUUGUAAUAAAAAAAUUAUUAUGUUAAGUAUAAGUGGGAAGUUGUUUGUAAAUUUUUACACAAGUAAAUAAUUUAAACAUUUUUGAGAUACCACUCUUAAAAUUUUUUUGUUACUAAUUUUAAAGACAUUGUAUAACGGGUAGUUUGACUGGGGCGGUCACCUCCUAAAAAGUAACGGAGGUGUACAAAAGGUAAGUUCAAAUUAUUUUAAUAGUAAUUUUAGAGCAUAAUAGUAUAUACUUGCUUGACUGUAAAAUUGACAAAUUAAGCAGGGACGAAAGUCGGUUAUAGUGAUCCGAUAGUAUUAAGUGGAAAAGCUAUCGCUCAACGAAUAAAAGGUACGCUAGGGAUAACAGGCUAAUAAUUCUUUAGAAACCUUAUCGACAGAAUUGUUUGGCACCUCGAUGUUGGAUUAUCGCAUCCUGGAAUUGAAAAAGAUUCCAAGGGUUCAACUGUUCGUUGAGAAAGGCGGUACAUGAUCUGAGUUUAGAACGAUGUGAAUCAGUUUGGUCUCUAUCUACGGUAAAUGUAAAAAAUUGAGAGGAUUAAACUCUAGUACGAGAGGACCGAGAAAAACAAAUCUAUGGUUUAUCAAUUGUUAUACCAAUAGCAUUGUUGAGUAGCUACAUUUGGAAUAGAUAAUUACUGAAAGCAUCUAAGUAAGAAACUAACCUCAAAAAUAAUUUUUAAAAUUGUAACAGAUAAUUACAUAAAUAGGUUUGGUGUGAAAAAACUGUAAAGUUCAGCUAACAAAUACUA
This 2463-nucleotide ribosomal RNA is filed under the name Thalassiothrix antarctica. Its description in RNAcentral is "partial Bacterial large subunit ribosomal RNA". It matches the Rfam family "Bacterial large subunit ribosomal RNA". The record is from RNAcentral. Lineage: Eukaryota; Bacillariophyta; Fragilariophyceae; Thalassionematales; Thalassionemataceae.